UCAAAACUCCCUUAGACUUUUUGUUUAAUGUGGCUUCUCCAACUCCUUUUCUUUUUUUAAAAUCUCUCUCAAGAAGACCUUAUAUUUAUAGCCUUUAGGGUGUACAAAACAAAUUCCUAAUAGGAAUACCAAACCUAAUCAAAUUGAAAAUCCUAUUCCAAUACCAAAUUCUAAAUCCUUAAUAUGGACUUAGAAAUCCAAAUAUGAAACAGAUUCCUUAGAGAAUCGGUUUUCAACAAUUCUCCACCACGACGAAGAUUCUUCAAUCUGAGUCGUUACCUUGAGAAAACGCCAAUCUCCAUAAACCCGAAUUUAAUUACGAAUGCGCCACCAUUAUAUGAAUUCAACCGGAUCUUCUAGGUCAUCAACAAAGUUCUUUGCUUUAUUCCACCCUUUCGGGUACCGAUCAACAAUGAUCAUGUAAGUCCAAGGAAAGGACUUACCCACCUUUGGAACCCACUUCUUUGUCAUACGAACUCUUUGAACUCCACCUAAUACAGAAUCUUCAUGAGAAUGUGCAUUCUCAAUCUUCAACUUAGAUGAUUCUAAGGUCCGACCGGUUACUGCUUCUCCCAACAGUACGUACAAGCCUCUACGUUGGCUUCCCUCCAUGACCAAAGUGUUUCCUCGAUAUACCUUCAUUACUCCACCAUAGAAAGAGUAAUUAUAACCAGCAAAAUCUAACUUAGAUAGACUAAUUAUAUUCCACUUUAACCUCGGCACGUGUUUUACAACCUGGAUUGAAUGAACAUUACCAUCAAACAUCCUUAAGUGAACAUCACCGACUCCCUUUAGUCGUAUACCCGAGCCAUCUCCUGUAAACACCUUCCCACGAUAAUCCUCAUACCGACUAAAAUAUGAGCGAUUAGCACACAUGUGCUCUGUGGCACAACUAUCUAGCAACCAUUCGUUUUGUGUAACCGACGUAGACAUCACAAAACAAAACUCUCCCUCGUCAUCGCUAGGGGCAACCGCUAGAUUUGCAUGAUGGGAACCUUUUGCCGAAUUAGUUCCAUCAUCUUCUGCCAAGCAAUCCUUUCUCAAGUGACCAGGACGACCACACUUAUAGUAAUUACCGGAAAAACGAUGCUUUUUCCCCUUUGUCUUCUUCCCAUGUGCUACCAAAGCUCCACCAGAAUCACUACUUGUACCUGUACCAUUCUUUGAGCGUGUUUCCCAAGAAAUCAAGGCACCUCUAACUUCUGAAAGAGUAACCUUUGAUUUACCAUAAAGUAGCGUUGUUGCCAAGUGCUUAUAUGACUGCGGAAGUGACCAUACCAACUGCAAAGCUUUAUCCUCGUCCUUAAUCUCUUCUCCCAGGGAUUCUAAACCAGAAACAAUCGAAUUGAAAGUUGACAAGUGAUCAGAAACCGAAGUACCUUCCUCCAUGUGCAAAAGAUGCAACUACUUCUUUAGAUGAAGCCGAUUUGUGAGCGUCUUUGCCAUGUACAAACUCUCCAACUUUUUCCAGAGUUCUUUUACCGUAGAAACUCCCUCUAAAGUAACGUUUGCUAGGAUGUUCUUCGCCAGACACAAUCGAAUUUGACUUGCUGCCUUCCGAUCUUUCUUCUUCCAUGCAUCAUCGAUCUUUUCUUCCAUCUCUGCAUUGUCUCCUAAGCUCUCUUGACCUUUUUUCGGUACAAGAGGAGGACCAUCAAGUGCAUCAUCCAAUUCGAGCAUCACCAAGUAAUCUCGAACUUGAAUUUUCCAUAAACCAAAGUUCAUGACUCCAUCGAACUUUUCAAUAUCAUACUUCGAAAACUUUAUUUCCGACAUCUUCUACAACCUAAAGCUCUUGAUACCAAUCGUUGGGAAUCGAAAAUAAAUCAAUAAACCCUAGUGCGGAAUAACCCAAGAUCUAGAAGAAACAAGUAAUGAUAAUAAGAAAAACGAAUCCAAUACACAAGAUAUACGUGGUAGAACCCUCACGGAGAAUAAACCACCACAAGCAAAACAAAGAACUUUAUUAUCUUCCACCAAAAGGAUUACAAGAUGAGAUCUCACACAACUCACUCUCACACCCUUUACAAGAAGAACACAAACCUAGAAAUCCCACAAUAAAGAUUGCUCCCAAGUUUCACAAGCCUCCAAACCUUAAAUCUCCAAGUUUUGAAUCUCUCAAAACUCCCUUAGACUUUUUGUUUAAUGUGGCUUCUUCAACUCCUUUUCUUUUUUUAAAAUCUCUCUCAAGAAGACCUUAUAUUUAUAGCCUUUAGGGGGUACAAAACAAAUUCCUAAUAGGAAUACCAAACCUAAUCAAAUUGAAAAUCCUAUUCCAAUACCAAAUUCUAAAUCCUUAAUAUGGACUUAGAAAUCCAAAUAUGAAACGGAUUCCUUAGAGAACCGGUUUCCAACAAAUUCCUCCACACAUGAUACAGUUCCACUAUUCACAGUCCUCUCUUUUAGAAUCUCCUUGCAUUAUGAAGUACAGACUGAAAU
This 2439-nucleotide long non-coding RNA is filed under the name Aquilegia coerulea. RNAcentral's name for it is "long non-coding RNA (ACOE_LNC000657)". The record is from RNAcentral. Lineage: Eukaryota; Viridiplantae; Streptophyta; Magnoliopsida; Ranunculales; Ranunculaceae.